UGGGGAAUAUUGCGCAAUGGGGGAAACCCUGACGCAGCGACGCCGCGUGUGGGAUGAAGGUCUUCGGAUUGUAAACCACUGUCGCGAGGGACGAAGCUCUGACGGUACCUCGAAAGGAAGCACCGGCUAACUCUGUGCCAGCAGCCGCGGUAAUACAGAGGGUGCGAGCGUUGUCCGGAAUCACUGGGCGUAAAGGGCGCGUAGGCGGCCCGGUAAGUAGGGGGUGAAAUCUCGUGGCUCAACUGUGAGGCUGCCUUCUAGACUGCCAGGCUUGAGCACAGUAGAGGCGAGUGGAAUUCCCGGUGUAGCGGUGGAAUGCGUAGAGAUCGGGAAGAACAUCGGUGGCGAAGGCGGCUCGCUGGGCUGUUGCUGACGCUGAGGCGCGAAAGCGUGGGGAGCAAACAGGAUUAGAUACCCAUGUAGUCCCUGAGCGGGCUGGCAAGGCGCAU
This 449-nucleotide ribosomal RNA is filed under the name uncultured bacterium. RNAcentral's name for it is "bacterial SSU rRNA". It matches the Rfam family "Bacterial small subunit ribosomal RNA", at positions 355 to 825 of the family's 1533-position model. The record is from RNAcentral.